AUGUUGUUGCAGUUAAAAAGCUCGUAGUUGAAGUUCGGCGGUCACCGCCUAUCCGCGAGGGUUCCCGAUCCCUAAAAAGUUCUGUUUCCCGACCGGACCUUUACUGUGAACAAAUCAGAGUGCUCAAAGCAGGCUUUCGCUUGUAUGAUAAAGCAUGGAAUAAUGAAACAAGACUUUUGUCUUUUGUUGGUUAUGACAGAAGUAAUGAUUAACAGAAUCAGUUGGGGGCAUUCGUAUUUUAUCGUCAGAGGUGGAAUUCUAAGAUUGAUAAAAGACGAACUAAUGCGAAAGCAUUUGCCAAGAAUGUUUUCAUUAAUCAAGAACGAAAGUUAGGGGAUCAAAGACGAUUAGAUACCGUCGUAGUCCUAACUAUAAACUAUACCGACUAGGGAUUGGGGAGUCAUCAAGCUCCUCAGCACCUAAUGAGAAAUCAAAGUCUUUGGGUUCUUGGGGGAGUUGACGUUAAUACAGCCGUAAUUAACCGGAGGCCCAGAACCCGUCGGUGUAGCCACUCCACAGACCAGCUCCAGUCGGGCGGCGACGCCCGGCUAGUCGCGAGGCAGCACUUUCAAAUUGCGGGGAAGCCCAAAUGUCCGUUCCACCGCGGCUGCUCGAAAGAGCCAGCGCAGCAGCAGG
This 636-nucleotide ribosomal RNA is filed under the name uncultured eukaryote. Its description in RNAcentral is "bacterial SSU rRNA". The stretch from base 1 to 449 matches the Rfam family "Eukaryotic small subunit ribosomal RNA", at positions 607 to 1116 of the family's 1831-position model. The record is from RNAcentral.